Molecule: long non-coding RNA, 276 nt
Filed under: Hordeum vulgare
Lineage: Eukaryota; Viridiplantae; Streptophyta; Magnoliopsida; Poales; Poaceae
Description: long non-coding RNA (HVUL_LNC015083)
Source: RNAcentral
CGAGUUUUCGAGCCUCUCGAUCCAGGAGCCCCAGCCCCGCCUCCGGGAAGCGUCAGGGGACUGGCGGCGGCGGCGGCGGGAAUGCGCCGCCUUUGCGGCCGCGGGAGCUAGGCAAGAACCGCGCCUCUCGAUUGCGAGAAGGCGGCGGCUCGUCAGAUCUCGCCGCCACGGGCUCCGAAACGGCAGCUCCCGGCUCCGGAGGACCCGGCCGUGGCUCCACGGCAGAUCCGCCCGCCGCCGCCGGUGUCGAUCAAGCUGCUGCUGCUUCUUGCCUGU